UUAAGCGAACAAGCGUACACGGUGGAUGCCCUGGCAGUCAGAGGCGAUGAAGGACGUGCUAAUCUGCGAAAAGCGCCGGUAAGGUGAUAUGAACCGUUAUAACCGGCGAUGUCCGAAUGGGGAAACCCGGUGCACUUCGGUGCAUCAUCGUUAGCUGAAUACAUAGGCUAACGAGGCGAACCGGGGGAACUGAAACAUCUAAGUACCCCGAGGAAAAGAAAUCAACCGAGAUUCCCCCAGUAGCGGCGAGCGAACGGGGAACAGCCCAGAGCCUGAAUCAGCUUGUGUGUCAGUGGAACGGUCUGGAAAGGCCGGCGAUACAGGGUGACAGCCCCGUACACGAAGGCACACAGGCUGUGAGCUCGAUGAGUAGGGCGGGACACGUGAUAUCCUGUCUGAAGAUGGGGGGACCAUCCUCCAAGGCUAAAUACUCCUGACUGACCGAUAGUGAACCAGUACCGUGAGGGAAAGGCGAAAAGAACCCCGGCGAGGGGAGUGAAACAGAACCUGAAACCGUGUACGUACAAGCAGUGGGAGCCUUCGUAAGAGGGUGACUGCGUACCUUUUGUAUAAUGGGUCAGCGACUUAUAUUCUGUAGCAAGGUUAACCGUAUAGGGGAGCCGAAGGGAAACCGAGUCUUAACCGGGCGUUAAGUUGCAGGGUAUAGACCCGAAACCCGGUGAUCUAGCCAUGGGCAGGUUGAAGGUUGGGUAACACUAACUGGAGGACCGAACCGACUAAUGUUGAAAAAUUAGCGGAUGACCUGUGGCUGGGGGUGAAAGGCCAAUCAAACCGGGAGAUAGCUGGUUCUCCCCGAAAGCUAUUUAGGUAGCGCCUCGUGAACUCAUCUCCGGGGGUAGAGCACUGUUUCGGCUAGGGGGCCAUCCCGGCUUACCAACCCGAUGCAAACUGCGAAUACCGGAGAAUGUUAUCACGGGAGACACACGGCGGGUGCUAACGUCCGUCGUGAAGAGGGAAACAACCCAGACCGCCAGCUAAGGUCCCAAAGUCAUGGUUAAGUGGGAAACGAUGUGGGAAGGCCCAGACAGCCAGGAUGUUGGCUUAGAAGCAGCCAUCAUUUAAAGAAAGCGUAAUAGCUCACUGGUCGAGUCGGCCUGCGCGGAAGAUGUAACGGGGCUAAACCAUGCACCGAAGCUGCGGCAGCGACGCUUAUGCGUUGUUGGGUAGGGGAGCGUUCUGUAAGCCUGCGAAGGUGUGCUGUGAGGCAUGCUGGAGGUAUCAGAAGUGCGAAUGCUGACAUAAGUAACGAUAAAGCGGGUGAAAAGCCCGCUCGCCGGAAGACCAAGGGUUCCUGUCCAACGUUAAUCGGGGCAGGGUGAGUCGACCCCUAAGGCGAGGCCGAAAGGCGUAGUCGAUGGGAAACAGGUUAAUAUUCCUGUACUUGGUGUUACUGCGAAGGGGGGACGGAGAAGGCUAUGUCGGCCGGGCGACGGUUGUCCCGGUUUAAGCGUGUAGGCUGACUUUCCAGGCAAAUCCGGAAGGUUAAGGCUGAGGCGUGAUGACGAGGCACCACGGUGCUGAAGUGACAAAUGCCCUGCUUCCAGGAAAAGCCUCUAAGCAUCAGGUAACAUCAAAUCGUACCCCAAACCGACACAGGUGGUCAGGUAGAGAAUACCAAGGCGCUUGAGAGAACUCGGGUGAAGGAACUAGGCAAAAUGGUGCCGUAACUUCGGGAGAAGGCACGCUGACAUGUAGGUGAAGCCCCUGCGGGUGGAGCUGAAGUCAGUCGAAGAUACCAGCUGGCUGCAACUGUUUAUUAAAAACACAGCACUGUGCAAACACGAAAGUGGACGUAUACGGUGUGACGCCUGCCCGGUGCCGGAAGGUUAAUUGAUGGGGUUAUCGCAAGAGAAGCUCCUGAUCGAAGCCCCGGUAAACGGCGGCCGUAACUAUAACGGUCCUAAGGUAGCGAAAUUCCUUGUCGGGUAAGUUCCGACCUGCACGAAUGGCGUAAUGAUGGCCAGGCUGUCUCCACCCGAGACUCAGUGAAAUUGAACUCGCUGUGAAGAUGCAGUGUACCCGCGGCAAGACGGAAAGACCCCGUGAACCUUUACUACAGCUUGACACUGAACAUUGAGCCUUGAUGUGUAGGAUAGGUGGGAGGCUUUGAAGCGUGGACGCCAGUCUGCGUGGAGCCGACCUUGAAAUACCACCCUUUAAUGUUUGAUGUUCUAACCUGGCGCCAUAAUCUGGCGUGGGGACAGUGUCUGGUGGGUAGUUUGACUGGGGCGGUCUCCUCCCAAAGUGUAACGGAGGAGCACGAAGGUCAGCUAAUCCUGGUCGGACAUCAGGAGGUUAGUGCAAUGGCAUAAGCUGGCUUGACUGCGAGAGUGACGGCUCGAGCAGGUGCGAAAGCAGGUCAUAGUGAUCCGGUGGUUCUGUAUGGAAGGGCCAUCGCUCAACGGAUAAAAGGUACUCCGGGGAUAACAGGCUGAUACCGCCCAAGAGUUCAUAUCGACGGCGGUGUUUGGCACCUCGAUGUCGGCUCAUCACAUCCUGGGGCUGAAGUAGGUCCCAAGGGUAUGGCUGUUCGCCAUUUAAAGUGGUACGCGAGCUGGGUUUAGAACGUCGUGAGACAGUUCGGUCCCUAUCUGCCGUGGGCGCUGGAGAAUUGAGGGGGGCUGCUCCCAGUACGAGAGGACCGGAGUGGACGCAUCACUGGUGUUCGGGUUGUCAUGCCAAUGGCACUGCCCGGUAGCUAAAUGCGGAAGAGAUAAGUGCUGAAAGCAUCUAAGCACGAAACUUGCCCCGAGAUGAGUUCUCCCUGAGACUAUAAGUCUCCUGAAGGAACGUUGAAGACGACGACGUUGAUAGGCCGGGUGUGUAAGCGCAGCGAUGCGUUGAGCUAACCGGUACUAAUGAACCGUGAGGCUUAACCUU
This 2901-nucleotide ribosomal RNA is filed under the name Cronobacter sakazakii. RNAcentral's name for it is "bacterial LSU rRNA". It matches the Rfam family "Bacterial large subunit ribosomal RNA". The record is from RNAcentral. Lineage: Bacteria; Pseudomonadati; Pseudomonadota; Gammaproteobacteria; Enterobacterales; Enterobacteriaceae.